This 74-nucleotide transfer RNA is filed under the name Endomicrobium sp. RNAcentral describes it as "tRNA-His". It matches the Rfam family "tRNA". From Rfam's summary of the family: Transfer RNA (tRNA) molecules are approximately 80 nucleotides in length. Their secondary structure includes four short double-helical elements and three loops (D, anti-codon, and T loops). Lineage: Bacteria; Pseudomonadati; Elusimicrobiota; Endomicrobiia; Endomicrobiales; Endomicrobiaceae. The record is from RNAcentral.
GUGGUUGUAGCUCAAUUGGAUAGAGCAUCGGCUUGUGGCGCCGAAGGCUGCGGGUUCAAAUCCCGUCAUCCACC